RNAcentral lists this ribosomal RNA (169 nucleotides) under Liparis pulchellus (showy snailfish). RNAcentral describes it as "partial 12S rRNA". The record is from RNAcentral. Lineage: Eukaryota; Metazoa; Chordata; Actinopteri; Perciformes; Liparidae.
UACCGCGGUUAUACGAGAGGCCCAAGUUGAAAGACACCGGCGUAAAGCGUGGUUAAAUAAAAAUCUAAACUAAAGUUAAACACCUUCAAGACUGUUAUACGUAUCCGAAGAUAGGAGCCUCAAUUACGAAAGUAGCUUUAUAUUAACUGAACCCACGAAAGCUAUAGCA